RNAcentral lists this small nuclear RNA (72 nucleotides) under Taenia asiatica. RNAcentral's name for it is "U2 spliceosomal RNA". It matches the Rfam family "U2 spliceosomal RNA", at positions 1 to 91 of the family's 192-position model. Rfam says of the family: U2 is a small nuclear RNA (snRNA) component of the spliceosome (involved in pre-mRNA splicing). Complementary binding between U2 snRNA (in an area lying towards the 5' end but 3' to hairpin I) and the branchpoint sequence (BPS) of the intron results the bulging out of an unpaired adenosine, on the BPS, which initiates a nucleophilic attack at the intronic 5' splice site, thus starting the first of two transesterification reactions that mediate splicing. Lineage: Eukaryota; Metazoa; Platyhelminthes; Cestoda; Cyclophyllidea; Taeniidae. The record is from Rfam by way of RNAcentral.
AUCGCUUCAUGUGUAGUAUCUGUUCUUUGCAGUGUAAUUUCUGCAACGGUCCCUAAUUUGGGACCAAUGAAA